GGGUUGUACUAAUACCGCAUAAGACCACAGGGUGACAUCAUCUAGGGGUCAAAGGAGUAAUCCGGUAAGGGGUGGGCUCGCGUCCGAUUAGAUAGUUGGUGAGGUAACGGCCCACCAAGUCGACGAUCGGUAGCCGACCUGAGAGGGUGAUCGGCCACAUUGGGACUGAGACACGGCCCAAACUCCUACGGGAGGCAGCAGUGGGGAAUAUUGGGCAAUGGGGGAAACCCUGACCCAGCAACGCCGCGUGAGGGAAGAAGGUUUUCGGAUCGUAAACCUCUGUCCUUGGUGAAGAGAAAGAGACGGUAGCCAAGGAGGAAGCCCCGGCUAACUACGUGCCAGCAGCCGCGGUAAUACGUAGGGGGCGAGCGUUGUCCGGAAUGAUUGGGCGUAAAGGGCGCGUAGGCGGCCCGGUAAGUCUGAAGUGAAAGUCCUGCUUUUAAGGUGGGAAUUGCUUUGGAUACUGUCGGGCUUGAGUGCAGGAGAGGUAAGUGGAAUUCCCAGUGUAGCGGUGAAAUGCGUAGAGAUUGGGAGGAACACCAGUGGCGAAGGCGACUUACUGGACUGUAACUGACGCUGAGGCGCGAAAGUGUGGGGAGCAAACA
This 605-nucleotide ribosomal RNA is filed under the name uncultured bacterium. RNAcentral describes it as "bacterial SSU rRNA". It matches the Rfam family "Bacterial small subunit ribosomal RNA", at positions 155 to 774 of the family's 1533-position model. The record is from RNAcentral.